GACGAACGCUGGCGGCGUGCCUAAUACAUGCAAGUCGAACGCACUCUCGUUUAGAUCGAAGGAGCUUGCUCCUGAUUGAUAAACAUUUGAGUGAGUGGCGGACGGGUGAGUAACACGUGGGUAACCUGCCCUAAAGUGGGGGAUAACAUUUGGAAACAGAUGCUAAUACCGCAUAAAACCUAACACCGCAUGGUGUAGGGUUGAAAGAUGGUUUCGGCUAUCACUUUAGGAUGGACCCGCGGUGCGUUAGUUAGUUGGUGAGGUAAAGGCUCACCAAGACCGUGAUGCAUAGCCGACCUGAGAGGGUAAUCGGCCACACUGGGACUGAGACACGGCCCAGACUCCUACGGGAGGCAGCAGUAGGGAAUCUUCCACAAUGGACGAAAGUCUGAUGGAGCAACGCCGCGUGAGUGAAGAAGGUUUUCGGAUCGUAAAACUCUGUUGUUGGAGAAGAAUGUAUCUGAUAGUAACUGAUCAGGUAGUGACGGUAUCCAACCAGAAAGCC
This 505-nucleotide ribosomal RNA is filed under the name uncultured bacterium. RNAcentral describes it as "bacterial SSU rRNA". It matches the Rfam family "Bacterial small subunit ribosomal RNA", at positions 28 to 492 of the family's 1533-position model. The record is from RNAcentral.